Rattus norvegicus (Norway rat) is the source of this 617-nucleotide non-coding RNA. Lineage: Eukaryota; Metazoa; Chordata; Mammalia; Rodentia; Muridae. The record is from RefSeq and is a predicted model, not a curated record.
CGGCAUGAAGAUGAUGGCCUUGGGCUCACAUCCAUCUGUUACAUGUUGGCUCUAAAAGCUCUCUGUUCAUUUCAACUUGUGAAAAUGCUGCUGGUCAGUUCAUUAGGAUUCCUGAAAUACAACACAGACAGUGAUGAGCAUGGACUCAGAGAAAGCAUAUUUCUUUGGAGAUAAGAAAACAGAAAGCAGUUGAGAUAUCGUUAUCGCCAAUCAUACACAGUGGAAGGGCAGAAGCAAAUUUAUUUGUUGACAGCAACGUGAAAGCUUUUGAAGAAAGAAGUAAAAAGGAACAGACAAAAGACAUGAAUGAGAGGCAAGUACAUUUAGCAUCUGAGACAUUCAGGUAUCAACAUAUAAUAACACUCUCCUCUAAAACUGUAUUCAGGUGGGUUUUUUUUCCUCCUGAACUGUAUUUGGUAGUCUACACCUUAUUCCUAAAUUAAUUACGUUGAGAGACUUAGAAGGCCAAGGAUGGAAAUAAAGGACUAACUACACUGUGCAGGCAGGACUGAAGAAAAGAACGGUUGAAAAGACAGCAAAAGAGGGAACAAGAAAUUAGAGCACCAAUUGGAAAUUGGGUGUACACUUUAUUAAAAUUUGAUUUUCUUUCUGAGAAA